This 328-nucleotide ribosomal RNA is filed under the name uncultured eukaryote. Its description in RNAcentral is "partial 18S ribosomal RNA". It matches the Rfam family "Eukaryotic small subunit ribosomal RNA", at positions 1470 to 1796 of the family's 1831-position model. The record is from RNAcentral.
CCCUUAGAUGUCCUGGGCCGCACGCGCGUUACACUGAUGCAUUCAACGAGCUUAUAACCUUGGCCGAGAGGCCUGGGCAAUCUUGUUAACGUGCAUCGUGAUAGGGAUAGAUUAUUGAAAUUAUUAAUCUUGAACGAGGAAUUCCUAGUAAACGCAGAUCAUCAAUCUGCAUUGAUUACGUCCCUGCCCUUUGUACACACCGCCCGUCGCACCUACCGAUUGGAUGGUCCGGUGAAGCCUCGGGAUUGUGGUUCUUGCCGCUUUAUUGUGGCGUGACCGCGAGAACUUGGCUAAACCUUAUCAUCUAGAGGAAGGUGAAGUCGUAACA